AAGCAAUGUGAUUAACAGUCCUGGCCUGCUGCUUUUGGCUUACAUGCAUUUUUAGCUAGAUCUUCAGAGGAUAGGGAUUCUGUAUGAGAUACAUGCAGAAUCUCUCCUCCUAUUACCCUGUGAAUAAAAACAGAUGGGACCUCAGAGAAGGAUACCCUCCCCCUAAAUCGAUCACCUCACCAGCCCAGUGUUGUGGCUUUGUAGCACGCCCUCUAUCUACCGUAUUCUAGAACACUGUAAUGCUACUUUGCUGGCCCAGAAAAGAUUUAAAUGUUGAAUUCACUUACUGCAUAUGGUGCACUACCAUGCAAUCUUGAUGUAUAUUUUUAGUGGCAGUAGACCCCAAAAUGUAGCGACAAGUUGGGUCUUGGGUAUCAGGCCAUUUCAUCCUCAGACUUGUAGAAGUACAUUUUCUGGUCUUGAGACCUGUAUUUUUAGUUAUGUAUGCAACUGCCUUUAUUACACACCUGGUUAUCACAAUUCAAUUCUCAGGUGUUGCAGAAAAAAAAUCUACCUCUUUCAGACUGUAGAUGGAAAUAACUGUGAAAAAAUGAUGCAGAUAUCUUCUAGUUUGUGCUAAACACACUGCUUUAUUUUUACAGCCCACGUCUUUCAUGAGGAUAUGAAUUGUUAAGAGGCAGUCUUGUUUUGCUUUUCAAAGACAUUUUGUAGAGAUUUUUCACUAACGUGAAUCUGAUUUUAUCUACUCAAUUCUGUAGAGAUUAAGUAAAUAUGUAUGAUGAAUUU
RNAcentral lists this long non-coding RNA (747 nucleotides) under Rattus norvegicus (Norway rat). Its description in RNAcentral is "long non-coding RNA NONRATT030511". Lineage: Eukaryota; Metazoa; Chordata; Mammalia; Rodentia; Muridae. The record is from RNAcentral.